RNAcentral lists this ribosomal RNA (498 nucleotides) under uncultured bacterium. RNAcentral's name for it is "bacterial SSU rRNA". It matches the Rfam family "Bacterial small subunit ribosomal RNA", at positions 899 to 1397 of the family's 1533-position model. The record is from RNAcentral.
ACUCAAAUGAAUUGACGGGGACCCGCACAAGCGGUGGAGCAUGUGGUUUAAUUCGACGCAACGCGAAGAACCUUACCAAGGCAUGACAUACCAAUGAACGGAACAGAGAUGUUCAAUUCCUUCGGGACAUUGGAUACAGGUGGUGCAUGGUUGUCGUCAGCUCGUGUCGUGAGAUGUUGGGUUAAGUCCCGCAACGAGCGCAACCCCUACGUUCAGUAGCCAGCACUUUGGGUGGGUACACUGGACGGACUGCCGUGGAUAACACGGAGGAAGGUGGGGAUGAGGUCAAAUCAUCAUGCCCCUUAAGUCUUGGGCUACACACGUGCUACAAUGGCUGCAACAGAGUGAAGCGAGCUCGCGAGGGUAAGCGAAACACAAAAAAGCAGCCUCAGUUCGGAUCGCAGUCUGCAACCCGACUGCGUGAAGUCGGAAUCGCUAGUAAUCGCGAAUCAGCAUGUCGCGGUGAAUACGUUCCCGGGUCUUGUACACACCGCCCGU